UGGGGAAUAUUGGACAAUGGGCGAAAGCCUGAUCCAGCCAUGCCGCGUGUGUGAAGAAGGUCUUCGGAUUGUAAAGCACUUUAAGUUGGGAGGAAGGGCAGUAAGCGAAUACCUUGCUGUUUUGACGUUACCGACAGAAUAAGCACCGGCUAACUCUGUGCCAGCAGCCGCGGUAAUACAGAGGGUGCAAGCGUUAAUCGGAUUUACUGGGCGUAAAGCGUGCGUAGGCGGCUAAUUGAGUCGGAUGUGAAAUCCCCGAGCUUAACUUGGGAAUUGCAGUCGAUACUGGUUAGCUAGAGUGUGGGAGAGGAUGGUAGAAUUCCAGGUGUAGCGGUGAAAUGCGUAGAGAUCUGGAGGAAUACCGAUGGCGAAGGCAGCCAUCUGGCCUAGCACUGACGCUGAGGUACGAACGCAUGGGGAGCAAACAGG
This 429-nucleotide ribosomal RNA is filed under the name Pseudomonadota bacterium. Its description in RNAcentral is "Proteobacteria bacterium partial 16S ribosomal RNA". It matches the Rfam family "Bacterial small subunit ribosomal RNA", at positions 355 to 776 of the family's 1533-position model. The record is from RNAcentral. Lineage: Bacteria; Pseudomonadati; Pseudomonadota.